GGUCCUCUGGCGCAACGGUAGCGCGUUUGACUCCAGUGCUUACCACUGUGGAAUCAAAAGGUUAUCCGUUCAAAUCGGGUGGGGAUCA
Molecule: non-coding RNA, 88 nt
Organism: Corynascus novoguineensis
Lineage: Eukaryota; Fungi; Ascomycota; Sordariomycetes; Sordariales; Chaetomiaceae
Source: the annotation of a GenBank genome assembly